CUACGGAGGGUGCAAGCGUUAUCCGGAAUCACUGGGUUUAAAGGGUGCGUAGGCGGCAUUAUAAGUCAGAGGUGAAAGGCCACCGCUUAACGGUGGGACUGCCUUUGAUACUGUAGAGCUUGAAUAAGGUUGAGGUUAGCGGAAUGUGACAUGUAGCGGUGAAAUGCAUAGAUAUGUCAUAGAACACCAAUUGCGAAGGCAGCUGACUAGACCUUUAUUGACGCUGAGGCACGAAAGCGUGGGGAGCGAACAGGAUUAGAUACCCCAGUAGUCC
This 274-nucleotide ribosomal RNA is filed under the name uncultured bacterium. RNAcentral's name for it is "partial 16S ribosomal RNA". It matches the Rfam family "Bacterial small subunit ribosomal RNA", at positions 523 to 796 of the family's 1533-position model. The record is from RNAcentral.